RNAcentral lists this long non-coding RNA (273 nucleotides) under Mytilus galloprovincialis (Mediterranean mussel). The record is from RNAcentral. Lineage: Eukaryota; Metazoa; Mollusca; Bivalvia; Mytilida; Mytilidae.
GGCUUGUCUCAUACGUGAAAUUCUUAUCAAUUUUAUCAAACACAGGUGUGAGAUGAUAUUUUAACAUACGCCAAAUGGUGUGCAGUGUUUAUAACAAAUCUAACACAAUAGAUAAAUGCGCAGAAAAGCAGUAUCAUUUAGCAAGUGUUUGGCAGUAGCCUGCUGCAUCGAAACAAAGGAAGAUGAUAUACUGAUAAUUCGAAUGACAUAAAUGUUGCUUUUGAAAGGCGAACAGGGAAUCAAUACGACGAUCUGUUUAUACAAGAGAAAUAA